Molecule: long non-coding RNA, 236 nt
Organism: Priapulus caudatus
Lineage: Eukaryota; Metazoa; Priapulida; Priapulimorpha; Priapulimorphida; Priapulidae
Exons: 3
Source: RefSeq, a predicted model, not a curated record
UCCCAAAAGAAGCACAUCCCAGGGGGAGCCACCAUCGGUGAUCAUGAUAGCAUGGAGUUUGACUGGGAUUGGGAGAACGACACGAAUGUUCCCAAUGGUAGAAGCGACGACAGGUCGAGCGUGUUUGGCACUCCCACUCUCACUCACUUAGACCAGGAACAUCACCCAAUGCACAGAGGGCUCAUUACGCAUCUGAAUCGGCAGCGACUGUCGACGCGGUCGCAGCAGUGGUCGGU